RNAcentral lists this ribosomal RNA (253 nucleotides) under uncultured microorganism. RNAcentral's name for it is "partial small subunit ribosomal RNA". It matches the Rfam family "Bacterial small subunit ribosomal RNA", at positions 524 to 776 of the family's 1533-position model. The record is from RNAcentral.
UACGUAGGGCGCAAGCGUUGUCCGGAAUUAUUGGGCGUAAAGAGCUCGUAGGCGGUUUGUCACGCCUGCUGUGAAAACCCGAGGCUCAACCUCGGGCCUGCAGUGGGUACGGGCAGACUAGAGUGCGGUAGGGGAGACUGGAACUCCUGGUGUAGCGGUGGAAUGCGCAGAUAUCAGGAAGAACACCAAUGGCGAAGGCAGGUCUCUGGGCCGUAACUGACGCUGAGGAGCGAAAGCAUGGGGANCGAACAGG